AUUGAACGCUGGCGGCAGGCCUAACACAUGCAAGUCGAGCGGAGCGGCGGACGGGUGAGUAAUGCCUAGGAAUCUGCCUGGUAGUGGGGGAUAACGUCCGGAAACGGGCGCUAAUACCGCAUACUAUCAGAUGAGCCUCGGUGGGAUUGGGUAGUUGGUGGGGUAAAGGCCUACCAAGGCGACGAUCCGUAACUGGUCUGCGUGGAUGUUCAGUCACACUGGAACUGGGAAACGGUCCAGACUCCUACGGGAGGCAGCAGUGGGGAAUAUGGUACAAUGGGCGAAAGCCUGAGCCAGCAAGGCCGCGGGUGUGAAGAAGGUCUUCGGAUUGUAAAGCACUUUAAGUUGGGAGGCGUUACCAACAGAAUAAGCACCGGCUAACUUCGUGCCAGCAGCCGCGGUAAUUC
This 407-nucleotide ribosomal RNA is filed under the name uncultured bacterium. RNAcentral's name for it is "partial 16S ribosomal RNA". It matches the Rfam family "Bacterial small subunit ribosomal RNA", at positions 30 to 526 of the family's 1533-position model. The record is from RNAcentral.